ACCCUUCAGUUUCCUUUCCCAUUGGAUCUCAACACUGGUCUUGGUGGUCAUAAAAGAGGGAGAGUGCUGAAGCUGCCCUCAUAGCCUUGUAGUCGUGUAUAAGCAUAUGGGCUGGAUUCAAACAGGG
Nannospalax galili (Upper Galilee mountains blind mole rat) is the source of this 127-nucleotide small nucleolar RNA. The record is from Ensembl. Lineage: Eukaryota; Metazoa; Chordata; Mammalia; Rodentia; Spalacidae.